GGGGGAUAACCGCCCGAAAGGGUGGCUAAUACCGCAUGUGGUCUUUGGGUUGCGGCCCAGAGAGUAAAGCUCCGGCGGUUCGGGGGGAGCGUGCGGCCGAUUAGCUAGUUGGUGGGGUAAAAGCCUACCAAGGCGACGAUCGGUAGCUGGUCUGAGAGGACGAUCAGCCACACGGGGACUGAGACACGGCCCCGACUCCUACGGGAGGCAGCAGCGAGGAAUCUUGGUCAAUGGGCGCAAGCCUGAACCAGCGACGCCGCGUGGAGGAUGAAGGCCCUCGGGUUGUAAACUCCUUUUGGGUGGGAAGAAGCUCUGACGGUACCACCCGAAUAAGCCCCGGCUAACUACGUGCCAGCAGCCGCGGUAAUACGUAGGGGGCGAGCGUUGUCCGGAUUUAUUGGGCGUAAAGCGCGCGCAGGCGGUUCGUUCAGUCCGUUGUGAAAGCUCCUGGCUCAACUGGGAGAGGUCUUCGGAUACUGGCGGACUCGAGGGAGGCAGAGGAAGGUGGAAUUCCGGGUGUAGUGGUGAAAUGCGUAGAGAUCCGGAGGAACACCAGUGGCGAAGGCGGCCUUCUGGGCCUUUCCUGACGCUGAGGCGCG
RNAcentral lists this ribosomal RNA (599 nucleotides) under uncultured bacterium. Its description in RNAcentral is "bacterial SSU rRNA". It matches the Rfam family "Bacterial small subunit ribosomal RNA", at positions 138 to 755 of the family's 1533-position model. The record is from RNAcentral.